AAUGAACGCUGGCGGCAUGCCUAACACAUGCAAGUCGAACGAAGGCUUCGGCCUUAGUGGCGCACGGGUGCGUAACGCGUGGGAAUCUGCCCUCAGGUUCGGAAUAACAGCGAGAAAUUGCUGCUAAUACCGGAUGAUAUCGCGAGAUCAGAGACUUAUCGCCUGAGGAUGAGCCCGCGUAGGAUUAGCUAGUUGGUGUGGUAAAGGCGCACCAAGGCGACGAUCAUUAGCUGGUCUGAGAGGAUGAUCAGCCACACUGGGACUGGGACACGGCCCAGACUCCUACGGNNGUCGGCAGUGGGGAAGAUUGGACAAUGGGCGAAGGCCUGAUCCAGCAAUGCCGCGUGAGUGAUGAAGGCCUUAGGGUUGUAAAGCUCUUUUACCCGGGAUGAUAAUGACAGUACCGGGAGAAUAAGCUCCGGCUAACUCCGUGCCAGCCGCCGCCGUAA
This 449-nucleotide ribosomal RNA is filed under the name uncultured bacterium. RNAcentral's name for it is "partial 16S ribosomal RNA". It matches the Rfam family "Bacterial small subunit ribosomal RNA", at positions 29 to 523 of the family's 1533-position model. The record is from RNAcentral.